This is a long non-coding RNA of Syngnathus acus (greater pipefish), 1245 nucleotides long. RefSeq lists it as uncharacterized. The record is from RefSeq and is a predicted model, not a curated record. NCBI's taxonomy places the organism in Eukaryota, Metazoa, Chordata, Actinopteri, Syngnathiformes, Syngnathidae. The transcript has 2 exons.
UAGCAACUUUAUUCUCGCUGCUAUGCUGUCAUUCAGGACGGGCCAAAAAAUAGGUCCAGCGGUGCCAUUAUUUUAGUUUAGUUUAUUAGGCGCUCUUGGAUUGAAAUAGUGACCGGAAGUGAUGCGCACGCUCCUAAACGAGCUUGAUGCGAAGCCACAAGCGUUAACGACAGAAACAAACAAUCGGGUAGUAAAUGAAAUGACAUUAUUCGCAAGUUCUGGAACCAAUUGGACGCAUGUUCUUCAACGAAUCGACCACCGCGUUCAGAUUUGUUCUGUGUUGUGGUGAAGGCCAGGGGAGAGGUGGCUGUGCAGGGUGCCCGGCUGCAAGCAGCCCCCUCAAUGGUCUCUCCCACCAUCAAGGCGUUGGUGGAUGCGGUGUGGGCGGUGUGGAGCAUUGGGGCCUCCAUCUAUGACUACAUCCAUACCAGUGCCAUGGAGGAGCGCAUACACGCCCUGGAGAAGGUCAUCAGCGUCCACCAGUUUGCCAUCGGGCUACUGUUGGCGGCCAUGUUGGUGCUCUUCACUUACAUCUUCGUCAAGAAGGUUUGAGAGUCAAGCAGACUGAGGGGAUUCCAAUUGUGUAGAAAGGUGAAAUUGUAAUAAUCUCACGUUUGGGAGCAAAUAAGAUGCUGAGUAGAUUGAUUCUUCAUUGGAUAUUGCUUUGAUAUCUUAUUACUGCUAAAGAUACAUAACUUGCUAAUUCUAUCAUUUCAAAAGGGAUCAGUAUUGAAAUACAUUGUUGCCAUUUUGUCUGCCUUGUUUGUUUUUUUGCUAACUUUGUAUAAUAUUUUUUCUGAGAUUUUUUGCUAACUUUACCUUUGAAUGAGUCUGAUGGGUUUAGAAACCAGAAUGAUUCCGCCCACCUGAUGACAUUCAUUUCUGGAUUGAAUCAAUUAAAAUUGGAUUUACCAAAAUGUGUAAGUAUGACUUGGACUGACAUUGGAAUUCAAAGAUGCUAUUCCAAAACAAAUUUAAUAAUUUUAUUUGAAGUGUGUCUAAACAGGAAAUUACACCGACAUAAAUUUGCCACAUAACUUUAAUACAAGGCGUAAUUGCAACUGGAAACAUCUCCCUCUAAAUCUCUGGAAAACAUUUGGAAUCUGGUCAGCAGAUUUGGUAAAACAUGGUGAAACCAAGCCAUCUGUCCAAUGACGACUGUGGAAAACCAACCAAAAUCUUCAUAAGCUCCCUCAGGCUGAGCAACUCCUGAUUAAAGAACACGCAACCUCUGCUUUUUCAAAU